GAUGAAGAACGCAGCGAAAUGCGAUAAGUAAUGUGAAUUGCAGAAUUCAGUGAAUCAUCGAAUCUUUGAACGCACCUUGCGCUCCUUGGUAUUCCGAGGAGCAUGCCUGUUUGAGUGUCAUGAAAUUCUCAACCUUUCUGGCUUUUGCUAGUCAGGCUUGGAUUAUGGGAGCUGCUGGCUUUUGAAGUCGGCUCUUCUAAAAUGUAUUAGCAAGAUCAUUGCUGCUCGUCAUUGGUAUGAUAAUUAUCUAUAUCAUUGAGAGUCAGUUUCCUUUAUUGGAAGAUUUUGCUCCUAACGGUCUUUAGCAAGACAACAUUUGACGAUUUUGACCUCAAAUCAGGUAGGACUACCCGCUGAACUUAAGCAUAUCAAUAAGCGGAGGA
This 383-nucleotide unclassified non-coding RNA is filed under the name soil metagenome. RNAcentral's name for it is "partial contains 5.8S ribosomal RNA, internal transcribed spacer 2, and large subunit ribosomal RNA". The stretch from base 1 to 120 matches the Rfam family "5.8S ribosomal RNA", at positions 35 to 154 of the family's 154-position model. The record is from RNAcentral.